UACGAAGGGGGCUAGCGUUGUUCGGAAUUACUGGGCGUAAAGCGUAUGCAGGCGGAUCGUUAAGUCGGGGGUGAAAUCCCGAGGCUCAACCUCGGAACUGCCUUCGAUACUGGCGACCUUCGAGUCCGGGAGAGGUGAGUGGAACUCCGAGUGUAGAGGUGAAAUGCGUAGAUAUUCGGAAGAACACCAGUGGCGAAGGCGACACACUGGGCCAUUACUGACGCUGAGGCGCGAAAGCGUGGGGAGCAAACAGG
RNAcentral lists this ribosomal RNA (254 nucleotides) under uncultured bacterium. RNAcentral describes it as "partial 16S ribosomal RNA". It matches the Rfam family "Bacterial small subunit ribosomal RNA", at positions 524 to 776 of the family's 1533-position model. The record is from RNAcentral.